This 254-nucleotide ribosomal RNA is filed under the name uncultured bacterium. RNAcentral's name for it is "partial 16S ribosomal RNA". It matches the Rfam family "Bacterial small subunit ribosomal RNA", at positions 524 to 776 of the family's 1533-position model. The record is from RNAcentral.
UACGUAGGGUGCGAGCGUUGUCCGGAAUUAUUGGGCGUAAAGAGCUCGUAGGCGGUCUGUCACGUCGGAUGUGAAAGCCCGGGGCUUAACCCCGGGUCUGCAUUCGAUACGGGCAGACUAGAGUGUGGUAGGGGGAGAUCGGAAUUCCUGGUGUAGCGGUGAAAUGCGCAGAUAUCAGGAGGAACACCGAUGGCGAAGGCAGGUCUCUGGGCAUUAACUGACGCUGAGGAGCGAAAGCAUGGGGAGCGAACAGG